GUGGGAAUAGCUCAGUGGUAGAGCCUGUGCUUAGCAUGCAUGAGGUCCUGGGUUCAAUCCCCAGUACCUCCA
RNAcentral lists this transfer RNA (72 nucleotides) under Camelus bactrianus (Bactrian camel). It matches the Rfam family "tRNA". From Rfam's summary of the family: Transfer RNA (tRNA) molecules are approximately 80 nucleotides in length. The record is from Rfam by way of RNAcentral. Lineage: Eukaryota; Metazoa; Chordata; Mammalia; Artiodactyla; Camelidae. RNAcentral also lists the same sequence under 2 other names.